RNAcentral lists this ribosomal RNA (440 nucleotides) under uncultured bacterium. RNAcentral's name for it is "partial 16S ribosomal RNA". It matches the Rfam family "Bacterial small subunit ribosomal RNA", at positions 338 to 795 of the family's 1533-position model. The record is from RNAcentral.
CCUACGGGGGGCAGCAGUAGGGAAUAUUGCUCAAUGGGGGAAACCCUGAAGCAGCAACGCCGCGUGGAGGAAGAAGGUUUUCGGAGUGUAAACUCCUUUUGUCAGAGAAGAAAAUGACGGUAUCUAACGAAUAAGCACCGGCUAACUACGUGCCAGCAGCCGCGGUAAUACGGAGGGUGCAAGCGUUACCCGGAUUCACUGGGCGUAAAGAGCGCGGAGGCGGGAAUGCAAGUCAGAUGUGAAAUCCUAUGGCUUAACCAUAGAACUGCAUUUGAAACUGUUAUUCUAGAGUAUGGGAGGGGUAGGUGGAAUUCUUGGUGUAGGGGUAAAAUGCGUAGAGAUCAGGAGGAAUACUCAUUGCGAAGGCGACCUGCUAGAACAUAACUGACGCUGAGGCGCGAAAGCGUGGGGAGCAAACAGGAUUAGAUACCCCUGUAGUC